GAUGAACGCUGGCGGCGUGCCUAAUACAUGCAAGUCGAGCGAACGGACGAGAAGCUUGCUUCUCUGAUGUUAGCGGCGGACGGGUGAGUAACACGUGGAUAACCUACCUAUAAGACUGGGAUAACUUCGGGAAACCGGAGCUAAUACCGGAUAAUAUUUUGAACCGCAUGGUUCAAAAGUGAAAGACGGUUUUGCUGUCACUUAUAGCUGGAUCCGCGCUGCAUUAGCUAGUUGGUAAGGUAACGGCUUACCAAGGCAACGAUGCAUAGCCGACCUGAGAGGAUGAUCAGCCACACUGGAACUGAGACACGGUCCAGACUCCUACGGGAGGCAGCAGUAGGGAAUCUUGCACAAUGGGCGAAAGCCUGACGGAGCAACGCCGCGUGAGUGAUGAAGGUCUUCGGAUCGUAAAACUCUGUUAUUAGGGAAGAACAUAUGUAUAAGUAACUGUGCACAUCUUGACGGUACCUAAACAGAAAGCCACGGCUAACUCCGUG
RNAcentral lists this ribosomal RNA (497 nucleotides) under uncultured bacterium. Its description in RNAcentral is "partial 16S ribosomal RNA". It matches the Rfam family "Bacterial small subunit ribosomal RNA", at positions 28 to 507 of the family's 1533-position model. The record is from RNAcentral.